Molecule: ribosomal RNA, 118 nt
Filed under: Lepisosteus oculatus (spotted gar)
Lineage: Eukaryota; Metazoa; Chordata; Actinopteri; Semionotiformes; Lepisosteidae
Source: RNAcentral
GCCAGCAGCUAUAUCAACACGCAACUCACAAGUGGCAGCCCACUGAAACUCAGCAGGUGUGAGCCUGGUCAGUACCUGGCUGGGAGACCUCCUGGGAAAGCCAAGGCUGCUGCUGGAA